RNAcentral lists this long non-coding RNA (1995 nucleotides) under Rattus norvegicus (Norway rat). Its description in RNAcentral is "long non-coding RNA NONRATT018222". The record is from RNAcentral. Lineage: Eukaryota; Metazoa; Chordata; Mammalia; Rodentia; Muridae.
AUCCUAAAGCAAAUACCCACAAUGGAUUCUUUACAAAUUGUUUUUCUUGAUGGGAAAAAUUAAUAUAUACACGAUCUGUUACAUGUCUUAAACAAGGUGAUUAUGUCUUAAACUCAGUUGUGUCUUAAAAUAUAUCCCAAACUACCUGAUCUUUAAAAAAGGACUUUCAACGAAUAUUUUAAAGUCCAGAUAAAGUAAAAUUACUUUUUUUUCCUGAUCUAGAGUUUUACCUGUUAACAUAGACAUUAUAAACAGGACUUUCCAGUUCUUUGGGAAAGUAGACAUGGGAGAGAAGUAGUAAUGUCUGUAAAUCCUCCAAGAGAGCAACUCAGUGCUGAGCAAUUAUGGGCUCCCCCGACUCCUGCUUUGUUAGUUGUUUUUUUUUUUCUUCAACACCAUAAGGGGGUAAAGAGUUGAGAGAAGACAAUCACCUAGAUUUUUUUUCAGAAUAAAAAGUGCAUCUAAAAAACCAUUCAACAGCAUUAAUUGUACCCCAAGAUUUCCAGUUAUCUAAUUGCACAAAGCUCAAGUCUUUGUUUUAGAACUUAUGCUAGUAGGUUUUUAGUUAUUUGCACAACAUAUUCCCAAAACUAUUUCCUAUUUCAAUUUUUCCAUCAUACUAGCAUUAUAGGAAUAUCUAAAUUUACAGUUAAUUUAUGAUUUUUCUUAAUACCCUUUGAAAGUAGACACACAAAGAGAUCAGUAGAGAAAGUGAGGCUACUGUCAGCCUUGUAGCUGAUACAGAAUGGGUCAGUGCAGUCGAGACAAGACUUAGUCUUGGAAUAGAUAUCCACAGUGAGUUUUGACAGUAAGGAAGCCACUGCUUGUUUUAAAGCACUCUUUGACUUACCGUUAUGCUCUCAUAGAACUAGCAUUAUUAAACUUUAUUGGAUCCCUUAGAAUUUGUCAAGAACUAAUCUGCUAGUUCUUCUUUGCCCCAGUGUGAUGCAGCUGCUCCCUGGCUUUGCUCGUAUCCAGUGGUAGGUGUUAAGCUAGGAACCUUCUUGUUCUCGAUAGGCACAUGCUGGGUUUCUGGUAUUUUGGAUAAUAGUAUUAGCUGCUGAUUCUACUUUAUUUUCUAGUGACUGUUUAGAGCAAUUAAUUGAUACCUUGUUCCAUGUGGUAAUAGCUUUCAUCACGGAACCUUUUUUUUUUUGUAAAUUUCCCAGAAGGAACUUAAGAGUUAACUGAUUGGUAUAAAGAAACUAAAUGGGCAUUUUUCUGUCUUGUUUCUAUUUACUGUAAUUAUUCCUUGUCGGGUUAUGCAUUAACAAAGUCUCUGUGUAGUUUGAUAAACUUUAAUUGUAAGAUUAUUUUUUAAACUGUUGUUUUAACAAAUAAAAUAGAUCCCAAGGCAAUGCAGUGCUGAUUGCCAUCACUGCCUGGGGUGGGCUUCUCUUCUGUUGAAGGGAUUGCCUGCUGUAUGACAAAUCAACAAAUCACAUUCUGUUUUUGAAUAAAAUACAAACAAACAAACUGGCUACCCAGGCCAAAGAAGGAGGUGUUAGGGUUUUGUUCAUCUGCUCUCCUGACUCACCCCGAGUGCUGGGGGACGUAAGGGCACUCAUUGAUUUGUGUUUCUGUCUGCUUUGGGUUUUCUUUUAUAUGCGAUUCCAUGUUACUAAGAGCACAUGCUCUGUAUUUUCUGCCCUCCCCUCUUUGUGUGUUCAUAGUAUUUUUGGAAGACUGAUACAUAAAUUGGGUAUUUCUAUGGGAAUCUUAAGGCGUGGCUGCUCUCUGUGGAAGGGGAAAGCAUAAUUAAGUUAAUGCACUUCUUUUCCUAGCUCCAAAGUCACUGUGAUGUAUAUUUUUUUAAUGGAAUUUAGAAAACUUGUUUUCUCAAUUGUAAAAUUAGUUUAAAAUGCUGCUUCUCUUAUCAUUAGUCUAGUAAAUGUUGAACUGUUUUCUGCAAAUUGCAUUUUACAAAACUUAAACUUCAAAACUGUAUUCUUUUAUAGUUAAACAUUGUAUUAAAUAAAGUAUACUAUAAUAAAC